RNAcentral lists this long non-coding RNA (1076 nucleotides) under Junco hyemalis (dark-eyed junco). Its description in RNAcentral is "lncRNA (ENSJHYG00000010245.1)". The record is from RNAcentral. Lineage: Eukaryota; Metazoa; Chordata; Aves; Passeriformes; Passerellidae.
CGUGAGUUCACUGCCAAGGCUCGGAGCUGGCACCAGGAAUGUGACAGUCCUUAUCCGGCCACAGAGGUUCUCAAAAGCGCUGGCUGGUGGCCCCAGUUACCUGAAGCAGUUACUAAUUGUUUGAGGAUGACGCAAACGACCGGCUCCAAUUUCAGCCCUGUGCAGGCUCCCAGGCAGGAAUGACCUGCUCGGCUAUUUCUGCUCUCCAUAUCCUGGUGAAAGGCAGGCCUGUAAAUUCCCCCAGUGCUGAGCUCCUGCCAUAGGCUUUUCCCUGAUGUGAAUGCCUCUGGAAAUCCUGCCUACCCCCAUGUUCCAGCUACCAAAGCCUCACCAGGGUUCAGAGUGCUCUCACCAACUGCGGUCUCACUGUGAUGGGAGACACAUGGGAAGGGGUGAGAGAAUGCAGCCUGAGCUCCUGCCUGGUGAUAUAAUGGCUGGAGCACUUGCUGCUGCCCCUGGCACUUCCGUGGCAUCCACCUGGGCAGCUGAGAGGAGAGGAUUGGUUCAGCUAUGGCCAUCUCUCUUUGAGAGGGAAAGCCAGGUUGGGAAAUGGGGAGCGAAAGGACAGUGGGGCUGGCAGAGAGAGCUGAGGAGCUCACAGCACCACUCCCAGCAGCUCAUGUGGGCAUUGCCUCCUGUGCCAAGCCUUGCAAUCCCUUUUGUGUCCCUGCUCUGCCAUUAGUGCUCAGCACUGACACUGCUUUGGGCCCUGCUCUCCUUUCACAAUUGCUGCAAUUGUGUAGGGACAAGCUCAAGAAAGAGUCUUCGGUCUAUGGAUCGGUGAGAGGAUGCCAUAACAACUACUGUGUCUUCUUUUCCCUGCUGAGCAACAAUGAUAAACUUGAUUAGCAGGUGAGGGAUUUUUCUGAAUAGAGACAGGGAAAUAUUGAUACAUUUAUACUACCAUUCUCCAGUGAAUUAUUUUUGUAGCUUUGGUUACCCAUGGUCCAGAAGUGUGGUAUUCACAUGCCCUCUGAACAGAGAGAAGCUGUGAGACAAGCAGAGAAAGAAAACACAAUUCUUAUCUUGCUUGCUGUGCCUGUGUUGUGCAAAAGUAGAAUGCAAUAUGGAGAUUG